UUGCUUUUGGCAGUGCAUAUGCUAAAAUUGGAAUGAUACAGAGAAGAUUAGCAUAGUCCUCAUGCAAGGAUGACAUGCAAAUUCAUGAAGCAUUCCAUAUUUAA
Small nuclear RNA from Apodemus sylvaticus (European woodmouse), 104 nucleotides. Lineage: Eukaryota; Metazoa; Chordata; Mammalia; Rodentia; Muridae. The record is from RefSeq and is a predicted model, not a curated record.